RNAcentral lists this unclassified non-coding RNA (333 nucleotides) under soil metagenome. Its description in RNAcentral is "partial contains 5.8S ribosomal RNA, internal transcribed spacer 2, and large subunit ribosomal RNA". The stretch from base 1 to 119 matches the Rfam family "5.8S ribosomal RNA", at positions 35 to 154 of the family's 154-position model. The record is from RNAcentral.
GAUGAAGAACGUAGCGAAAUGCGAUAAGUAAUGCGAAUUGCAGAAUCCGUGAGUCAUCGAAUCUUUGAACGCACAUUGCGCCCGGCAGUACUCUGCCGGGCAUGCCUGUUCGAGCGUCAUUUCAACCCUCAAGCCCUGCUUGGUGUUGGGGCCCUGCGGCUGCCGCAGGCCCUGAAAGGAAGUGGCGGGCUCGCUGCAACUCCGAGCGUAGUAGAUCUCUAUCUCGCUAGGGAGGCGCGGCGCGUUCCGGCCGUUAAAACCCCCAAAUAUCAAGGUUGACCUCGGAUCAGGUAGGAUUACCCGCUGAACUUAAGCAUAUCAAUAAGCGGAGGA